Molecule: ribosomal RNA, 434 nt
Filed under: uncultured bacterium
Lineage: Bacteria
Description: bacterial SSU rRNA
Rfam family: Bacterial small subunit ribosomal RNA
Source: RNAcentral
UGAGGAAUAUUGGUCAAUGGGCGGGAGCCUGAACCAGCCAAGUCGCGUGAGGGAAGACGGUCUUACGGAUUGUAAACCUCUUUUGCCGGGGAGCAAAGGGCGCCACGCGUGGCGUUUCGAGAGUACCCGGAGAAAAAGCAUCGGCUAACUCCGUGCCAGCAGCCGCGGUAAUACGGAGGAUGCGAGCGUUAUCCGGAUUUAUUGGGUUUAAAGGGUGCGUAGGCGGGCCGGUAAGUCAGCGGUAAAAUAGCGGGGCUCAACCCCGUCGAGCCGUUGAAACUGCCGGUCUUGAGUGGGCGAGAAGUGCGCGGAAUGCGUGGUGUAGCGGUGAAAUGCAUAGAUAUCACGCAGAACCCCGAUUGCGAAGGCAGCGCACCGGCGCCCGACUGACGCUGAAGCACGAAAGCGAUGGGGAUCGAACAGGAUUAGAUACC